GUGCGUGCGUUGCGUGCCGAUCACGUCAAGGCUUUAUAUGAGCAGGUGCGCGCUCCGUCUCGGGUUGGCAUUUUGUUGUUUGGACCGGUUGAUGGGAGUCUCUCCACUAGCCCUCCAUGGUGGCAGUCUGAAAUUAACCUGAUUAUGUGCGGCCAAUUUAUGGGCGUAAUGUAGAGUUUAUUCCAAAGGUAAGUUUUGUGUGUUAGAGUAAACGUAGAAAAAAAAAAAAAGGGAAAAGAGUUUUAAGGAAUGUUGUUGUUUUGCAGAGUCUGCUAGCUGCUGCUUUGCUGUAAUUUAAGUGGCAUCUGGCCCUACUCUGAACGGCAUUCCUACGCGUGCGUGUGUGGACAUCAGACGCAAGCGCUUCGGACUCCAUCCUCCUUGGCCAAUUCAUGUGCGCUGCCUCAUUCAUGCGCGCUCGCUGUAUGAUUUAUACAGGUCCUCAAACCAUCUACGAGUGUUGCCGUCGGAAACCAUCUUAGCCUAGUGUGUUUGUUAUUUGCUUUGAGUGAUGUGAGUUUGUACGAAGUGUUAUUCCAUUUCGUUUUUCUUUUUUUUCUUUGUAUGGGUUGCUUUGGUUGCUGUUGUCAUUAUUAUUAGUUUAUGAUUAUUAUUUUUAGAAGUUGGUGUCGUUGUUAUGAUUGUAGUGAUGAUGUGACACUAACUUAUUUGCUUAGUAUUGCCCAAUCGGAACCAAGGUUGGUGUGACGGUGAUAUUUUGAAUUGUGUGGUUUGUGGUGUAUAUGAUUUACUAUAUUUUGAUUUUUUGUUUUGUUUGAGGUGUAUGAUUUUGUUUUCAACAUCUAGGGGUCCUACAUAGUGGUUCCUAUUUGGGUUUUAUUAUAUGCUGGAGUGGGACACAUUGAAUAACCAAGAAAUAACAACUGAUUACCAAUUUCAUUUUUGUUGAUUGCGGGUGGGAUUUAUAUUGGUAUAGUCUUUCUGGUAUUUGUAUUGAUAUUGUUUAAUGUUUUUUUUAUUGCUAUGUAUUUUUUUUUGGUUGUGUUCUAGAAUCACCACCCAACUAGCUUUAUUGAUUCGGUUUAUGCCAUUUGUGGGUGGGUUUAUGGUUGUAUGGAUUUUUUUGGUGUAUUGUAUUGAUUUUGUCUAUUAUGAUUUUUUGUUGCGUCUAUUUCCUUUUUUUUUUGGCUAAAUGUAUGGUGUUCUAGAGUGAUAUCGGGUACACAUUGAUCCAUCUACCUGUCCAUUUGUGGGGAUGAUGCUUUAAGCGCUUAUGAAUUCAGAGUUAGGACGGUGUCCUUAAUUGGUGUUUUUGUUACUAGGAACACUGUGUAAUUAAGGCAACAUUUUUAUUGUGAUGUUGAGCUCAAUGUUUUAAAUAGUAAAUGUAAGAAAUAAAAUUGGGAUUUGCUUGAACCGUGA
Non-coding RNA from Danio rerio (zebrafish), 1383 nucleotides. Lineage: Eukaryota; Metazoa; Chordata; Actinopteri; Cypriniformes; Danionidae. The record is from RefSeq and is a predicted model, not a curated record.